CUCUGCAUCAAGGUCAGCAUGAUAGCACUGUCUCUCUAUGCUUAGGGAGAGGCCUGUCCCGUACAUCCCGUGCCCCCGCAAGACGCCUACUACAACACUGGAUAAAUUUCUAUUCAGAUGCAACUCAGGAUUACAGUUCAAGGCAGAUGGAGUAAGAGACUCACACCCAGAAAAAGAGGUGGUGAAAGUGACUGUUCAGACCUCCCGUUGCUGAGUUUCAGAAGAACGGAAUGUAGAAAACAAAGGAUAAAAUUUAAAAGGUAAAAGUUUACUGCUCGUUAAAUUCUCCUUUGGGAAAUGAAGUUUUGUUAACAACUGAACCUUCUAGAACACCCACUGAUUUUCAUGAAAUGCUACAAUGAAAAGAACUGCCAAG
Molecule: long non-coding RNA, 376 nt
Filed under: Gallus gallus (chicken)
Lineage: Eukaryota; Metazoa; Chordata; Aves; Galliformes; Phasianidae
Description: long non-coding RNA NONGGAT004451
Source: RNAcentral